GGAGUUAGCCGGUGCUUCUUCUGUGAGUGAUGUCCUUCCUGCCGGCUAUUAACCCGCAGGCCUUCUUCCUCACUGAAAGUGCUUUACAACCCGAAGGCCUUCUUCACACACGCGGCAUGGCUGGAUCAGGGUUGCCCCCAUUGUCCAAUAUUCCCCACUGCUGCCUCCCGUAGGAGUCUGGGCCGUGUCUCAGUCCCAGUGUGGCUGAUCAUCCUCUCAGACCAGCUACGGAUCGUCGCCUUGGUGAGCCGUUACCUCACCAACCAGCUAAUCCGACAUAGGCUCAUCCGAUAGCGCGAGGCCCGAAGGUCCCCCGCUUUCCCCCGUAGGGCGUAUGCGGUAUUAGCCUGGGUUUCCCCAGGUUAUCCCCCACUACCGGGCAGAUUCCUAUGCAUUACUCACCCGUCCGCCGCUCGCCACCAGGGAGCAAGCUCCCCGUGCUGCCGCUCGACUUGCAUGUGUUAGGCCUGCCGCCAGCGUUCAAUCUGAACACGAUCGAAAUUCAAGCCUGAACUCGGGGACUCGGGGGCCUAAGGGGCCGAACGGCGUACGA
Molecule: ribosomal RNA, 553 nt
Filed under: uncultured bacterium
Lineage: Bacteria
Description: partial 16S ribosomal RNA
Source: RNAcentral